CGGCAGUAUCACGUUGUAACACCAGUUCUCUUAAGUUAAGAAACAUCGAGCCUGGUCAGUACCAAGAUGGGUGACCGCUUGGGAAUAUCAGGUGUUGUAAG
This is a non-coding RNA of Acanthosepion pharaonis, 101 nucleotides long. The record is from the annotation of a GenBank genome assembly. NCBI's taxonomy places the organism in Eukaryota, Metazoa, Mollusca, Cephalopoda, Sepiida, Sepiidae.